GGUGGUGGCUCAGUGGUAGAGUGCUUGCCUUGCAUGCAUGGGGCCCUGGGUUUGGUCCCAGCACAACA
This 68-nucleotide transfer RNA is filed under the name Marmota monax (woodchuck). RNAcentral describes it as "tRNA.Ala". The stretch from base 5 to 62 matches the Rfam family "tRNA", at positions 7 to 64 of the family's 71-position model. Rfam says of the family: Transfer RNA (tRNA) molecules are approximately 80 nucleotides in length. Their secondary structure includes four short double-helical elements and three loops (D, anti-codon, and T loops). Further hydrogen bonds mediate the characteristic L-shaped molecular structure. tRNAs have two regions of fundamental functional importance: the anti-codon, which is responsible for specific mRNA codon recognition, and the 3' end, to which the tRNAs corresponding amino acid is attached (by aminoacyl-tRNA synthetases). tRNAs cope with the degeneracy of the genetic code in two manners: having more than one tRNA (with a specific anti-codon) for a particular amino acid; and 'wobble' base-pairing, i.e. permitting non-standard base-pairing at the 3rd anti-codon position. The record is from RNAcentral. Lineage: Eukaryota; Metazoa; Chordata; Mammalia; Rodentia; Sciuridae.